CCUACGGGUGGCAGCAGUGAGGAAUAUUGGUCAAUGGACGAGAGUCUGAACCAGCCCAGUAGCGUGAAGGAUGACUGCCCUAUGUGUUGUAACCUUCUUUUAUAUAGGAAUAAAAUGUUCCACGUGUAGGCUUUUGUAUGUACCAUAUGAAUAAGGAUCGGCUAACUCCGUGCCUGCAGCCGCUGUAAUACGGAGGAUCCGAGCGUUAUCCGGAUUUAUUGGGUUUAAAGGGAUCGUAGGUUGAUUGUUAAGGAAGUUGUGAAAGUUUGCGGAUCAACCGUAAAAUUGCAGUUGAGACUGGCAGUCUUGAGUACAGUAGAGGUGGGCGGAAUUCGUGGUGUAGCGGUGAAAUGCUUAGAUAUCACGAAGAACUCCGAUUGAGAAGGCAGUUCACUGGACUGCAACUGACACUGAGGCUCGAAAGUGUGGGUAUCAAACAGGAUUAGAUACCCCAGUAGUC
RNAcentral lists this ribosomal RNA (460 nucleotides) under uncultured bacterium. RNAcentral describes it as "partial 16S ribosomal RNA". It matches the Rfam family "Bacterial small subunit ribosomal RNA", at positions 338 to 795 of the family's 1533-position model. The record is from RNAcentral.